RNAcentral lists this ribosomal RNA (461 nucleotides) under uncultured bacterium. RNAcentral's name for it is "bacterial SSU rRNA". It matches the Rfam family "Bacterial small subunit ribosomal RNA", at positions 341 to 794 of the family's 1533-position model. The record is from RNAcentral.
ACGGAGGCAGCAGUGGGGAAUAUUGGGCAAUGGGCGUAAGCCUGACCCAGCCAUGCCGCGUGAGUGAUGAAGGCCUUCGGGUCGUAAAGCUCUGUGGGGAGGGAAGAAACCGGACGUGGAUAAUACCCACGGCUCUUGACGGUACCUCCUUAGCAAGCACCGGCUAACUCCGUGCCAGCAGCCGCGGUAAUACGGAGGGUGCAAACGUUGCUCGGAAUCAUUGGGCGUAAAGCGCACGUAGGCGGCCUGUUAAGUCGGGUGUGAAAGCCCUGGGCUCAACCCAGGAAGUGCACUCGAAACUGGCGGGCUCGAAUAUGGAAGAGGGUCGCGGAAUUCCCGGUGUAGAGGUGAAAUUCGUAGAUAUCGGGAGGAACACCAGUGGCGAAGGCGGCGACCUGGGCCAAUAUUGACGCUGAGGUGCGAAAGCGUGGGGAGCAAACAGGAUUAGAUACCCCGGUAGU